RNAcentral lists this non-coding RNA (27 nucleotides) under Homo sapiens (human). Lineage: Eukaryota; Metazoa; Chordata; Mammalia; Primates; Hominidae. The record is from RNAcentral.
UGGAAAGAGUCCCAUCUCUGGUCAAGC